This 249-nucleotide ribosomal RNA is filed under the name uncultured bacterium. RNAcentral's name for it is "partial 16S ribosomal RNA". It matches the Rfam family "Bacterial small subunit ribosomal RNA", at positions 524 to 776 of the family's 1533-position model. The record is from RNAcentral.
GACAGAGGAUGCAAGCGUUAUCCGGAAUGAUUGGGCGUAAAGCGUCUGUAGGUGGCUUUUAAGUCCGCCGUCAAAUCCCAGGCUCAACCCUGGACAGGCGGUGGAAACUACCAAGCUGGAGUACGGUAGGGCAGAGGGAAUUUCCGGUGGAGCGGUGAAUGCGUAGAGAUCGGAAAGAACACCAACGGCGAAAGCACUCUGCUGGGCCGACACUGACACUGAGAGACGAAAGCUAGGGGAGCGAAUGGG